RNAcentral lists this unclassified non-coding RNA (195 nucleotides) under uncultured Pleosporales. Its description in RNAcentral is "sequence contains ITS1". Lineage: Eukaryota; Fungi; Ascomycota; Dothideomycetes; Pleosporales. The record is from RNAcentral.
CUGUUCAGCUGCCUGGGACUCGUCAGAUCCUGCACUUCCACCCUUUGGGUGGGGGCUGUAUGUGGUCGCGGGCCCAGUCUUCUAACACCCUUGAUUUUGAGCACCAUUUGUUUCCUCGGCGGGCCUGCCCGCCAGCGAGGACCCCAUAAACUCUUUGUAGUAGCAUCAUUUGUCUGAUAUACCAACAAAAAAUCA